RNAcentral lists this ribosomal RNA (253 nucleotides) under uncultured bacterium. Its description in RNAcentral is "partial 16S ribosomal RNA". It matches the Rfam family "Bacterial small subunit ribosomal RNA", at positions 524 to 776 of the family's 1533-position model. The record is from RNAcentral.
UACAUGGGGUGCAAACGUUGCUCGGAAUUAUUGGGCGUAAAGCGCACGUAGGCGGUUACUCAAGUCGGAUGUGAAAGCCCUCGGCUUAACUGAGGAAGUGCACCCGAAACUGAGUAGCUAGAGUACUAAAGAGGGUCGCGGAAUUCCCGGUGUAGAGGUGAAAUUCGUAGAUAUCGGGAGGAACACCGGUGGCGAAGGCGGCGACCUGGGUAGAUACUGACGCUGAGGCGCGAAAGCGUGGGGAGCAAACAGG